This 497-nucleotide ribosomal RNA is filed under the name uncultured bacterium. RNAcentral's name for it is "partial 16S ribosomal RNA". It matches the Rfam family "Bacterial small subunit ribosomal RNA", at positions 28 to 507 of the family's 1533-position model. The record is from RNAcentral.
GAUGAACGCUGGCGGCGUGCCUAAUACAUGCAAGUCGAGCGAACAGAUGAGGAGCUUGCUCCUCUGACGUUAGCGGCGGACGGGUGAGUAACACGUGGAUAACCUACCUAUAAGACUGGGAUAACUUCGGGAAACCGGAGCUAAUACCGGAUAAUAUAUUGAACCGCAUGGUUCAAUAGUGAAAGACGGUUUUGCUGUCACUUAUAGAUGGAUCCGCGCCGCAUUAGCUAGUUGGUAAGGUAACGGCUUACCAAGGCAACGAUGCGUAGCCGACCUGAGCGGGUCAGCGACCACACUGGAACUGAGACACGGUCCAGACUCCUACGGGAGGCAGCAGUAGGGAAUCUUCCGCAAUGGGCGAAAGCCUGACGGAGCAACGCCGCGUGAGUGAUGAAGGUCUUCGGAUCGUAAAACUCUGUUAUUAGGGAAGAACAAAUGUGUAAGUAACUAUGCACGUCUUGACGGUACCUAAUCAGAAAGCCACGGCUAACUACGUG